UACCAGCACCCCGAGUGGUCGGGACGAUUAUUGGGCCUAAAGCAUCCGUAGCCGGUUCUGCAAGUCCCCCGUUAAAUCCAGCUGCUCAACAGAUGGGCCGCGGAGGAUACUACAGAGCUAGGAGGCAGGAAAGGCAAGCGGUACUCAGUGGGUAGGGGUAAAAUCCGUUGAUCCAUUGAAGACCACCAGUGGCGAAGGCGGCUUGCCAGAAUGCGCUCGACGGUGAGGGAUGAAAGCUGGGGGAGCAAACCGG
Molecule: ribosomal RNA, 253 nt
Filed under: uncultured bacterium
Lineage: Bacteria
Description: partial 16S ribosomal RNA
Rfam family: Archaeal small subunit ribosomal RNA
Source: RNAcentral